This 226-nucleotide long non-coding RNA is filed under the name Nicotiana benthamiana. RNAcentral's name for it is "long non-coding RNA (NBEN_LNC009337)". Lineage: Eukaryota; Viridiplantae; Streptophyta; Magnoliopsida; Solanales; Solanaceae. The record is from RNAcentral.
AAAGAAACAUUAUGCGCUGAAUGUUAUUGUUUAUGAGCACAUUUUGACAAUAACAAUGAGUAAUAACUAAUUCUAGCUCUGCUAUAUAGCUUAUUUUUGCUUCUCUGAAUCAAGCUCUAUUUCUUUGUCUUAUUGAGCUCUGUGUGAUAGCUUAUCAGUCUCAUCUGAUCAAUUAUAUUCUGAGAUUAUGAGAAAUUUGCAUCCGAUGCUUGCUAUUGAAAAAAAA